Paramuricea clavata is the source of this 922-nucleotide non-coding RNA. The record is from the annotation of a GenBank genome assembly. NCBI's taxonomy places the organism in Eukaryota, Metazoa, Cnidaria, Anthozoa, Malacalcyonacea, Plexauridae.
CGCUACGGCUCUCCGUUAAAAAUUUACUACGUUUCUGGUAUUGAGACUAUAUUGUGUUUACACUAUAACGGAGUGGUUUGCCGUAGCGUACUAACUACGGAAAUCAAUUUCGUUAAAAAUUCACUACGGUUCUUAGUAUUGUGUUUACACUAUAAAGCCUGGUUUACAUAUGCCUGCGGUAUGCCUGCGACUGUAUCAUUAUGCCUCUACUUGCCGCCGAAAUACCGGCAAAGUUGAACUCAAGUCAACUUUCCUGGCCUACCGCCGAUGUAACUGUGGCACUGGAGGCAAUCGGUGAACAAAUAUUCAUAUAAUUCACGUUUUAAGCUACCACCGGUAUCGUCGCCGGUACGUCGCAGGCAUAUGUGUGAACCAGGCUUUACGGAGUGGUUUGCCGUAGCGUAUUAACUACGGACCACUACGUUUGGCACUCCGGAUGCAAAUCACUACGCUACGGUAAAUUUGCCGUAGCGUAGUAGUGUAAACGCGGCCUUACAUGCUUAUUAUUUGCGACGUAGUUCGGCUAUUAUGCCUAUUAACUGGACUGAAAAGUUUUAUUUCGCGCAGGAAAUAUUUUUCCUUGGGAAAAAUGCGCACAAAUGUUAUGCGCAAAAAUUUAUGGCUGACCAGGGGAUCCGGUGAUCAGAAGGCGUUUUUGUUAAAUAGAAAGAUGAGAAAUCUGCUUAGGGGUCUUGGUUAACAGAGGCAUUUCGGGCAGGUUCUUCUGAAAUUAUUCGCAGUUAUUAUUUACAUUUUGAGGAAUUUUGCGCUGAUUUUGCCCAGGAAAUCGAGUUCCUCCGAAGCCAAAACUUUGCCGUCUGGGGGCGAUUAGUAUGUACACAGAAUAAUUUCAACCACAGAAUAGUGAUGUAAAACCAUUAGUAGAUGGAGCCAGGGUUGGUAACUUUCUGAAUAAAUAAGC